RNAcentral lists this ribosomal RNA (422 nucleotides) under uncultured bacterium. RNAcentral describes it as "bacterial SSU rRNA". It matches the Rfam family "Bacterial small subunit ribosomal RNA", at positions 355 to 774 of the family's 1533-position model. The record is from RNAcentral.
UGAGGAAUAUUGGGCAAUGCCCGCAAGGGUGACCCAGCAACGCCGCGUGGAGGAUGAAUGUCGUAAGAUUGUAAACUCCUGUUAGAGGGGAAGAAUAGUACCGGUUGGACCGGUAUAUGACUGUACCCUCAGAGAAAGCCCCGGCUAACUACGUGCCAGCAGCCGCGGUAAUACGUAGGGGGCAAGCGUUGUCCGGAUUUACUGGGUGUAAAGGGCGAGCAGGCGGGAUAAAAAGUCAGUGGUGAAAUCCUACAGCUUAACUGUAGAACUGCCUUUGAUACUUUUAUUCUUGAGUUCGGGAGAGAGAGACGGAAUUCCAGGUGUAGUGGUGAAAUACGUAGAUAUCUGGAAGAACACCAGUUGCGAAGGCGGUCUCUUGGGCCGACACUGACGCUGAUGCGCGAAAGCCAGGGGAGCAAACG